Molecule: ribosomal RNA, 223 nt
Filed under: uncultured bacterium
Lineage: Bacteria
Description: partial 16S ribosomal RNA
Rfam family: Bacterial small subunit ribosomal RNA
Source: RNAcentral
ACUCCUACGGGAGGCAGCAGUGGGGAAUAUUGCACAAUAGGGGAAAGCCCAUCGAUGCAGCCAUGCCGCGUGUGUGAAGAGGCCAUUCGGGUUGGUAAAGACNCUUUUCAGAGGGGAGGAAGGUAGUGUAGUUAACACCUGCAUUAUUUGACGUUACCUACAGAAGAAGCACCGGCUAACUCCGUGCCAGCAGCCGCGGUAAUACGGAGGGUGCGAGCGUUAA